This is a long non-coding RNA of Centruroides sculpturatus (bark scorpion), 569 nucleotides long. RefSeq lists it as uncharacterized. NCBI's taxonomy places the organism in Eukaryota, Metazoa, Arthropoda, Arachnida, Scorpiones, Buthidae. The record is from RefSeq and is a predicted model, not a curated record. The transcript is spliced from 4 exons.
UUGAAAGUAAUUUCUUUAAUAGAAAUCCAAACUGAUGAUGAAUUUUUAAACUUUCUUUUCAUUCUGUGACCGCUAAGAGGGCCAGUUUUGUAUAUUCAUCGUAAAUUCGGCCCAUAAUGCUGAUGGCCAGGUGGUGAGGGACGAGGACCCUACAUAUCUGGCACAGAUCAUCAUGAAAAAAUUGAUGAGUAGACACUCGUCCGGAUUCGAUUUCGAGUCCCCAAAACUGUUGAAGUCAUUAUUCCAGCCUCCCUUUGAUCUGAUGCAAGAAAACAACAGUUCAUGAUCAUGUUGGAAAAAUUUAUAUAUGCUUCAUCCAUGAUUCAAAUUCAGCACCUCAAGAACUACAGUACUAUGAACUACAGAAACUCUGGAUCCAAAGCUAAUACAACAACUAUAUAAAUCAUGUUUUGAAAAAACUGUGAAAAAAAUUUUUGGAAAAGAAUUCCCAUUGAAAAAACAUUACUUUUAACGCUAUCUGCUGUCAUGUGCAUAACCAAAGAAGUUACAGUCUUAAAUAUAUAAUUUCUAUGCAAAUAACUAGUUUAGGUUUCUAAAAGUGUUUAAUG